GCUUUCUUUGCUGAGAGUGGCGGACGGGUGAGUAAUGCUUGGGGAUCUGGCUUAUGGAGGGGGAUAACGACGGGAAACUGUCGCUAAUACCGCGUAAUGUCUAAGGACUAGAGGGUGGGACUUUCGGGCCACCUGCCAUAAGAUGAGCCCAAGUGGGAUUAGGUAGUUGGUGGGGUAAAGGCCUACCAAGCCGACGAUCUCUAGCUGGUCUGAGAGGAUGACCAGCCACACUGGAACUGAGACACGGUCCAGACUCCUACGGGAGGCAGCAGUGGGGAAUAUUGCACAAUGGGGGGAACCCUGAUGCAGCCAUGCCGCGUGGAUGAAGAAGGCCUUCGGGUUGUAAAGUUCUUUCGGUGAUGAGGAAGGGUGAUGUUUUAAUAGAGCAUUACAUUGACGUUAGUCACAGAAGAAGCACCGGCUAACUCCGUGCCAGCAGCCGCGGUAAUACGGAGGGUGCGAGCGUUAAUCGGAAUGACUGGGCGUAAAGGGCACGCAGGCGGUGACUUAAGUGAGAUGUGAAAGCCCCGAGCUUAACUUGGGAAUUGCAUUUCAUACUGGGUGGCUAGAGUAUUUUAGGGAGGGGUAGAAUUCCACGUGUAGCGGUGAAAUGCGUAGAGAUGUGGAGGAAUACCGAAGGCGAAGGCAGCCCCUUGGGAAAAUACUGACGCUCAUGUGCGAAAGCGUGGGGAGCA
Molecule: ribosomal RNA, 695 nt
Filed under: uncultured Actinobacillus sp.
Lineage: Bacteria; Pseudomonadati; Pseudomonadota; Gammaproteobacteria; Pasteurellales; Pasteurellaceae
Description: bacterial SSU rRNA
Rfam family: Bacterial small subunit ribosomal RNA
Source: RNAcentral